This 67-nucleotide ribosomal RNA is filed under the name Acinetobacter baumannii 947299. The record is from RNAcentral. Lineage: Bacteria; Pseudomonadati; Pseudomonadota; Gammaproteobacteria; Moraxellales; Moraxellaceae.
UGGCGACCAUAGCAAGAGUGAACCACCUGAUCCCUUCCCGAACUCAGAAGUGAAACCUCUUAGCGCU